UUGUUAAUUUAUUACAUAGAGUUAACCCAAGAGCUAUGUAGCUCUUGUCAAUGGAAUUCAAGAGUACAGAAGGGUCAUUUGAUGAUCGUUGAGUCUUUUAAGAAUGCUACACGAGAUAGUGGAUUUGAAAUAAUUUUGUUAAGGGCCCUACUGUUUAUUUUUGCCACAAAAAAUAAAAAGGUAUACACUAACCAGUUGGUGUAGAGAAUUAAUUGCUAAAUAAUUUAUGUCAAAGUCCUUAAUAUACUAUACUAAUUAAUACAAUCCACUGUGCUCUAGCUAGUUUUAAUCCUUUGGUGAAGAAGAUUUUGACAAUAAAACAGAAAGCCACGUAGGUUCAUAAAAUAUGUCUGACAUUUUCUGAACUGGGGAAUAGGACCCACUUGUCAUUCCUACUAUUGUCUCAGUAUCUCUUUGAAGUGCAAAAACAUUGUGAUUUCAAAAGCAGUCGAGGAAGAUGCCAUCUGCAGCUUCUGACAAGCUCUGGAGGUGUAGCCAAAUAUGGAGCAUGUCACUAGGUGGUAGGUUUGCUAGGGAUCUGACAUGAUUGACUUUUCUUUCUUAAAGACAAUUAAAAUUUAUGUACAAUAAAUUGUUUCAACUGGCACUUGCUUUUAAAACUCAAACUCCAUGUAUGUCUUGCUAAAAAGUGAUUCUGCAAUGCAAAUGUCAUUUGUUGGAGAAGAAAAGAAAGCUGGAUGCUUGUUUGGAAGCUUAGUAGGCAGGAGAGAAAAGUUGUUCCAUAAAGGAACCGACCUUCUAUGGAAUGUUUCUGCUCUGUGAUAUAGCUCUACCCUUGUGCAUAUAUGGAAUUUGCUGUGUUGACCUAACAUGCCUUCUAUACAUCUCUCUCGGCUAGUUCUCUUUAUCUAGUAACUGAGUGUGGAAUACUUGGAGCAAGAUUUUCUUCCAGUGAAGGGAUUUGCCUCCUAGGAGUGGAGUCCACACAAUGCCAAACUAAUUCUGCACUAGGGGCAAAAGGAAGACAGGGCCCCUUAUCUCUGUGAGCCGGCCUUAGAGAAAGAAGAGACAUUCGCAACAUGGUCUAACUUCUCUGAAGUCAAGGAUGCCUUCAAAAUGAAAGUUUGGGCCACUGGGGGAGGGAGCGCAGGAAGGGAGACCACAGGGAGGAGGAAAAGAAUUGUAAACAAAGGGACAGCUGGGGAUUGGCCCAUUCUUUCUGAGCAUUUGUGGAGCUUCUUUAGAGCCAGUGAAGAAAGUAAAAUCCAGAGGCAACUUUUAAAAAAUGCCAUUUAAUGUCUGACUUCUUAAGCCUACCUGCAUAAAAAUAAAGAUAAAAGAAAUAAUGCAAGCUAGGUGCCUAGGUUCUAACCCAAUUCAGUUUUCACUUAUGUUUAUUUUGUAAAAAGGUACCGUUACAUUCUCUAUUUGGCAGUGCUGGGUGUUCAGGACAUGGUACUCCAAAAUACUGCACCUUGGCAUUUGAAAAAGCAGUAGAAGCAAGCAGGUCAUUCUCACCCUGCCCAUGUUCUUCCCCUGAUGCAGGUACUUCUCAUGUGUUGGCAGAUGAGGGGGAAGAUAAUGAUGCAACAUUGAAGGCCUGAAAUAAUUGAACCCUCUUUUUUCCUCAGAAUAAAAAAAUGUAUAUGUGGUGUAUUCAUUUAUUUGUGUUGUUAUACUGUUGGCACUAUAUAUUUGAGGCUUGAAUAAAAUUUACGUAAUCAGAAAAAAAAAUUAUUAAAAUAUAAAGGAAAUUUCCAAGUGAUGACUAUGAACAAUUUGUUAAUCCAUGGAAAUGUACCUGAUUUUAAGUCAAACAAAUCAUAUUCACUGCAUUAACAGACAUAAGAUGAUGGUUAAGGAAAUAAAAAUGGAGAGAGGCCAAGGAUGAAAUUGAACAUGUGGCACACAUUGCCACUGUGUGUCUCUGGCUGGUCUAUCAGCCAUCGCAAAUAUGCAUGUCUUGGGUGUGACAAACUGUUACAGAGAAGAUACUAAGUGCUGAACAGAUUCUGCCUUAUAUAGCAAAGACAUUUUAUUGCAGUCUUGGAGCCAAUAUAGUCUGAUUUUUUGAAGACUUAACACACCCACAAUUUAAGCAGGCCCGAGGGAUGCACGUGGUGAGACAUCAAGCCCAAGGCAAUUUAUUGGCAGAAUUAAAUUCUGGCUAAUUUCUUUAGUGCCAGAGUGUCCAGUGCUCUCAUUAACUGCACUAGUUACCAAUGGAAAAUUUGUCUUUCAGUGUAGGGCACUUUGCUGAAGUGGAGCCAGCCUCUUGAGAAGUGCCUGGAAGAUUGGUUUGGAGUAUUCUGAAGUGGUUUGGGGCUGCCCAGAGACUCAUGGGCAUGGUACAGGGACUCCUGUCAGGGACUCCUUUGGCCUCGUAGGUAGGUUCUGAAAUGAGACCUUGUGCUCCUGCCAGGCCCCAUAGCUAAGACAGCUUUCGUGUGUGUUAUUGUGUGGGAAAAUGAGGUUGAGCUCCACAGCUCCCCUCCCAAUCACUGGGAGAGGAAUGUGAAAAGCAGAGCAGGGGACCUGGAGGAAGAGUGCAUAGUGAUAGAAGCACAAAGGCAGGAGAUGGUUCUGGAAAAGACUCCAGUCACAGUCACUUCCAGGGCAGGAGAAGCCAUAGUCAAGGGUAAUUGCAAGCCAGAGAGCAUGCGAUUUAAUGAGAGUUCAGGCAUCUUGGGAAAGUGUAAAGAAGUGAGAUGAUUGGGACAGGAGGUAAAGAUGUCAAGGUUUGCUGCAGUGAAGUGCAGGAAGGGUAAGCUGGGGUGUGAUGGGGUAGGAGGUAAAAUCAAAAUGCCUUUGGAUUUACAGGGUGAGUGGUUAUCAUGCAAUGCAGAAUUUUAGAAUGUUCUCUAUGAUGACUUUUGGGUUUUUACUCAACGAACUCCCAUUAUCCUAUUGUGU
Long non-coding RNA from Callithrix jacchus (white-tufted-ear marmoset), 2874 nucleotides. RefSeq lists it as uncharacterized. NCBI's taxonomy places the organism in Eukaryota, Metazoa, Chordata, Mammalia, Primates, Cebidae. The record is from RefSeq and is a predicted model, not a curated record.